RNAcentral lists this ribosomal RNA (253 nucleotides) under uncultured bacterium. RNAcentral describes it as "partial 16S ribosomal RNA". It matches the Rfam family "Bacterial small subunit ribosomal RNA", at positions 524 to 776 of the family's 1533-position model. The record is from RNAcentral.
UACGAAGGGGGCUAGCGUUGCUCGGAAUUACUGGGCGUAAAGGGCGCGUAGGCGGAUAUUUAAGUUAGAGGUGAAAGCCCAGGGCUCAACCCUGGAACAGCCUUUAAUACUGGAUAUCUUGAGUUCGGGAGAGGUGAGUGGAACUCCGAGUGUAGAGGUGAAAUUCGUAGAUAUUCGGAAGAACACCAGUGGCGAAGGCGGCUCACUGGCCCGGUACUGACGCUGAGAUGCGAAAGCGUGGGGAGCAAACAGG